Molecule: long non-coding RNA, 622 nt
Filed under: Mus musculus (house mouse)
Lineage: Eukaryota; Metazoa; Chordata; Mammalia; Rodentia; Muridae
Description: predicted gene 28073
Source: RNAcentral
GGCCUUGCUCUUAUGUCAUUUGACUAAAGGUUUCAUAGACCAAAGAUAACCAUCCAACUUGUUGGAAUACUGAAACAAUUGCUGCCUGCUGUCCACACACCACAUAAAAUAUGUGGAUUUCGUAAAUUCUGCAAAAAAGGUUUGGAAGCUGAUCAAUCAAUACUGGAACUCCCUCUUCUCCAGAAGAGACAUCCUGGCCUCCAUGCAGAGGAAUGUGUGGAUGGACAUAUAUUUAAGGAAGACACUAAACCAGAAACUACUACAUUACACCCUCUUAGAAGACUUCUAAGAUUGUUGUCAUGCCUACCACAGACAUUCAGAUGAUGUGUAUUGUUGAUUGUGAUUUCAUGUUUGGACCUGAUGAAGGAACCCAGGAGAUGAACAUAUGCCUGAGAAGACGAACUAGUGUGGAACUGUCAGCCAGGUUUUUGAUGAGUGCUCAGACUGAUUCCUGAUCUAGCAACCACAUUUACUAUAGUGGACAGAUGCUGUAGUCUCUGAUGAGGAGUUGCUAGCUGUUAGGAAGAACCUGAAAUGGGCUCCACUGCAUGAGGUUUGAAGUCUCCAGAGCAGCAAAGAGAGUGGGGAGUAGAACUCAUCAUCUUUAGGUCACUCAUCAUCG